UAAUUCUCCAAUGUGCACUCUUCAUCCAUGGAUGAGCUAAGCGGAAUGCAUCUCUCAAAUUCUUCAAUGCAUGCUCCUCGUCCAUAAACAAGCUGAGCAGAAUGCGUCUCUCGAAUUCUCCAAUGCUUGCUGUUCUCAUCUACAGAUAAGCUGAGUGGAAUGCAUAUCCUGAAUUCUCUAACAGACACUCCUCAUCCACA
RNAcentral lists this long non-coding RNA (200 nucleotides) under Elaeis guineensis (African oil palm). Its description in RNAcentral is "long non-coding RNA (EGUI_LNC044486)". Lineage: Eukaryota; Viridiplantae; Streptophyta; Magnoliopsida; Arecales; Arecaceae. The record is from RNAcentral.